GAUGAGUCAUGUUCACACCAAAGCCGUGAAUAAGGUGGCCUGGGUCAUCACAGAAAAGCACUACAUGAGCCUGGGCAACAACUUCCACAUGAACGUGUGUGUGUGUGUGUGUGUGUGUGUGUGUGGAGAUUGCUAUUAUCUCCAGUAGGAAGUCCUGCAACAAGAUAGCAGGCUAUGUCACACAUCUGAUGCAGAGGAUUCAGAGGGUCCCAGUAAGAAAUAUCUCCAUCACAUUUUAGGAGGAGGAGAGAAAAAGGAGAGAUAAUUCUGUUCCUGAGGUCUCAGUCCUGGAUUAGGAGGUCACUGAAGUAAAUUCUCACACUGGGGAAAUGCUAAAGCUUUUGGACAUUGGCAGUCUAUCCAACCUGCAGGUCACUCAGCCUGAAGUUGGGAUGAAUUUUAAAAUGCCACGUGGAAC
RNAcentral lists this long non-coding RNA (418 nucleotides) under Homo sapiens (human). Its description in RNAcentral is "non-protein coding lnc-GLI2-8:1". Lineage: Eukaryota; Metazoa; Chordata; Mammalia; Primates; Hominidae. The record is from RNAcentral.